This 503-nucleotide ribosomal RNA is filed under the name uncultured bacterium. RNAcentral describes it as "bacterial SSU rRNA". It matches the Rfam family "Bacterial small subunit ribosomal RNA", at positions 29 to 526 of the family's 1533-position model. The record is from RNAcentral.
AGCGAACGUUUGCGGCGGGCUUAACACAUGCAAGUCGAACGAGAAUCCCUUCGGGGAGGAAAGUGGCGCACGGGUGCGUAACACGUGGAUAACCAACCCAUUGGUUUGGGACAACACCGGGAAACUGGUGCUAAUACCAGAUGUGUCGCAGCUGUCUUCAGGCGGUUGCGAGAAAGGCCCGCAAGGGUCGCCAACGGACGGGUCCGCGUCCCAUCAGCUAGUUGGUGAGGUGAUGGCUCACCAAGGCAAAGACGGGUAGCUGGUCUGAGAGGAUGAUCAGCCACACUGGAACUGAGACACGGUCCAGACUCCUACGGGAGGCAGCAGUGGGGAAUAUUGCGCAAUGGGCGAAAGCCUGACGCAGCCACGCCGCGUGAGCGAUGAAGGUCUUCGGAUCGUAAAGCUCUGUGGGGGGAGAAGAAGAAAGCCGGUGAAGAGCCGGCCCUGACGGUAUCCCCUUAGCAAGCACCGGCUAACUCCGUGCCAGCAGCCGCGGUAAAGUC